This 323-nucleotide ribosomal RNA is filed under the name uncultured bacterium. RNAcentral describes it as "bacterial SSU rRNA". It matches the Rfam family "Bacterial small subunit ribosomal RNA", at positions 1190 to 1510 of the family's 1533-position model. The record is from RNAcentral.
UCAUCAUGCCCCUUAUGUCUUGGGCUUCACGCAUGCUACAAUGGCAGGUACAGAGGGUUGCGAUGCUGUGAGGUGGAGCGAAUCCUUUAAAGCUUGUCUCAGUUCGGAUCGGGGUCUGCAAUUCGACCUCGUGAAGGUGGAGUCGCUAGUAAUCGCAGAUCAGCUACGCUGCGGUGAAUACGUUCUCGGGCCUUGUACGCACCGCCCGUCACGUCACGAAAGUUGGUAACACCCGAAGCUUGUGGCUUAACCUUUUUGGGGGGAGCAGGUGACGGUGGGAUUGGCGAUUGGGACGAAGUCGUAACAAGGUAGGCGUACCGGAA